CUGCGAAUGGCUCAUUAUAUAAGUUAUCGUUUAUUUGAUAGUACCUUACUACUUGGAUAACCGUGGUAAUUCUAGAGCUAAUACAUGCUAAAAAUCCCGACUCCGGAAGGGAUGUAUUUAUUAGAUUAAAAACCAAUGCCCUCUGGGCUCUCUGGUGAUUCAUGAUAACUUCUCGAAUCGCAUGGCCUUGCGCCGGCGAUGGUUCAUUCAAAUUUCUUCCCUAUCAACUUUCGAUGUUUGGGUAGUGGCCAAACAUGGUUGCAACGGGUAACGGAGGGUUAGGGCUCGACCCCGGAGAAGGAGCCUGAGAAACGGCUACUACAUCCAAGGAAGGCAGCAGGCGCGCAAAUUACCCAAUCCCGAUCCGGGGAGGUAGUGACAAUAAAUACUGAUACAGGGCUCUUUUGGGUCUUGUAAUCGGAAUGAGUACAAUUUAAAUCCCUUAACGAGGAACAAUUGGAGGGCAAGUCUGGUGCCAGCAGCCGCGGUAAUUCCAGCUCCAAUAGCGUAUAUUAAAGUUGUUGUGGUUAAAAAGCUCGUAGUUGAACCUUGGGCCUGGCUGGCCGGUCCGCCUCACCGCGUGCACUGGUCCGGCCGGGCCUUUCCCUCUGUGGAACCCCAUGCCCUUCACUGGGCGUGGCGGGGAAACAGGACUUUUACUUUGAAAAAAUUAGAGUGCUCCAGGCAGGCCUAUGCUCGAAUACAUUAGCAUGGAAUAAUAAAAUAGGACGUGCGGUUCUAUUUUGUUGGUUUCUAGGACCGCCGUAAUGAUUAAUAGGGACAGUCGGGGGCAUCAGUAUUCAAUUGUCAGAGGUGAAAUUCUUGGAUUUAUUGAAGACUAACUACUGCGAAAGCAUUUGCCAAGGAUGUUUUCAUUAAUCAGGAACGAAAGUUAGGGGAUCGAAGACGAUCAGAUACCGUCGUAGUCUUAACCAUAAACUAUGCCGACUAGGGAUCGGCCGAUGUUAUUUUUUGACUCGUUCGGC
This 986-nucleotide ribosomal RNA is filed under the name Cordyceps sp. MY4790. RNAcentral describes it as "SSU rRNA". It matches the Rfam family "Eukaryotic small subunit ribosomal RNA", at positions 87 to 1084 of the family's 1831-position model. Lineage: Eukaryota; Fungi; Ascomycota; Sordariomycetes; Hypocreales; Cordycipitaceae. The record is from RNAcentral.